This is a long non-coding RNA of Brassica napus (rape), 329 nucleotides long. RefSeq lists it as uncharacterized. The transcript is spliced from 2 exons. NCBI's taxonomy places the organism in Eukaryota, Viridiplantae, Streptophyta, Magnoliopsida, Brassicales, Brassicaceae. The record is from RefSeq and is a predicted model, not a curated record.
UUUAAUAAUCACCACAAGAAGAGAAAAAAAUGUGGGGGUAACUAAAAGGCAACAAAUAGGGUCUAAGAAACUCGGAUGAUAGAGAAAACGAGAAAGAUUCCUACAGAUCUACGCUCUAGCGCAAGACCUCACCUGAUCAGCUCCAAGAACCUUUCUCCAGUUCAUGAACUCCGGCUAUUGUAGUCCCGCCUGGUGAAGUAACAUCAUCUUUCAACACACCCGGAUGCUUCCCCGUUUUGCUCACCAUUGUUGCACCUCCAAGAACCUGCCAUAGACGCACACAGCUCAUUCUUCUCUUUCUAGUUUUCAAAACAUUAAGACAAACAGAA